CAUAAGCCCUUCUUCAGGGAUAUUAAAUGGCGUGCUGUUAACCCAGCAUGCAGUGCGGCGGUGAAUGUAACCUGGUCACAAAACAGAGCGAGACGCAGGCGUAGUGCCGUGCAGCGUAUAGAGCAUGCGCGGAAUGGGGUCCUGCGGAGGGAGGACUGUUUGUGUCGGUUCCGUAAAGGAAUAUUGAAAGAGGAUUUUUGAGGGCAGGAAAUUUCAAACAGGCAUCACAUCGAAUGCUGCCAGGAUCAGUCAACCUGAGUCUUAUCGGCUUUUGAACGGUAUCAGAAUGGGAAGAUUUAUAGCAAUGGGAUCACAUCAGAAUCUGAACGUCAUUGGAUUUUGAACAGAGAAGGAAAAACACCAGAUUGGGAAGAAAGUGCACACAUUUACUGCGUGUACAGGAAUUCAGUCAAUCAUCUGACCUGUUGAGACAUAAUUGUCAUCGCAGUGGGGAGAAACCGUGGAAAUGGGGAAACUGUGGAAAGGGAUACAGGUCCCCAUCUGAGCUGGAAACUCACUGACACACUGGGGAGAAGCUAUUCAGUUGCUUCAAGUGACAGAAGGCUUUCACUUAAUUAUCCACUUUGCUGAGACACUAGCGAGUUUACACUGAGGACAGACCAUUCGCCUUCUCCAAGUGUGAGAAAGGAUUCACUGAGUUUUCCAAUCAGUUGAAACACCACAAGUUCACAUUGACAAGAGACCCUCUAAAUAUCCAGAUUGCGGAAAUGGUUAUAAAACUUUCUGGUGACUCAGUGUCUCAUCAACGAGCUCACACUGAGGAGAAACCUUUCAGGUACACUCACUGUGGGACUGGAUUCAGGUGAUUGUACAACCUCACUCUACACCACCACAGCCACAGGCCAUUCUCCUGAUCUGAGAUGGGAAGGGAUCCACUUGGGCAACCUACCUGCUGACACACUAGCAGGUACAUGAUCAACUACAGUGACUUAAUUUGCUGUUAAUCCCAUCCAUGACUGAGCCGUGUUCAUUGAGGUCUGUUUUUGCUGAUGUUCAUAAACCACAUCUCACUUGUUACGGAGAGUGGAGUGAAAUGGAGAUGGUGUGGACUGAGAGUUUCUACUGGCCCAUCAACGUCCCAGUCCCGUUCACAGCAAACGGCUGCCGCUUCGUACGGCGACAAACCGAGGUAACUGUCUUUUAUUGGGGGUGAUGUUCACACGGAGCCGCCAUGUUUAUUGGGUCAAUGUGCAGCAGCAUGCCUGCGCAUUCUUUAACAGCGGCCGGAAGACAACAAUAAGCCCAUUCAGUCCAUCGAGACUGCUUCGCCAUUCCAUUGUGCUGUACUGUUCUGUCAGCCAUAACGUGCACUGAUGAUGUCGAUAUCAUUCUAAACUAAUCCCUUCUGCCUGCACUUUGUCUAUAUCCACUGCCUGUUCAUGCAUCAGUCUGAAUUUCUCUUAAACGUUGCUGUCAUAUCUACAUUUACCACCUCCCCUGGCAGUGCAUUCCUGGUCAGAUGUAACAUGGGUGAGAUUGCACCCCUCCAACUUACAAGAACACAGAAAGGGGACUUUAGUACUUUGAAAGAAAUCCUUGUAAAACAUUAUUGUAGGAUUGAGUUGUCCAUAGAUCACUAAAAUGUCACGGUCUCACACAAAAAAGGCCAGUAUGAAUGGAAUGCAAAGUUUUCAGCUAAAGGGUUAACAUCAGAAAGAUAUGGAGCUUCUGCCUCAGGCUCCUGGUUAGAGGAGCCCACAGCCAGAGUAGGCAUCGGUUCUGCGUGUCUCCUCGUUUGAUAACUUGGUUUUGGAAUGCAUGCUGUGUAGACUCAUGAGAAUGUAACCUAACCCUUUGAAAUUUUAACCAAACAAAGACCACGUUCAACAAGACUGGUGGUAGUAUUGCUGGAGAUUUUCCUAGGAUCUUGAAAAGGAUAAGUUAACAUGACAGGGAGCAUUUUUCUCCAGACAUGAGUGUCCAGGAUAACGAGACAACCUUUAGAAGGUCUCAGCCAUACCAUUCCUGAGGGAAGUUACAAAGCGUUACAAGCAAAGAGUAAUAGAAUUGUGGGAUUAUCUUUGGGAAAAAAAGGAAUGCUAGCUCAAAUAAUCAUUUAAAUAUUAAUUUAUUUCUGCUCAAUUAAGGGCAAAAAAGGAUAUGGAAUUGUGUUGGGUGAAUGGAAGUGGUAAAACCAAUGCAAGAAGCCAAAUGGUUGCCUACUGUUGGUGCACUGGGUGUCUUAAUGUUCUUUGACCUCUGCCUUUCUUGAGAGUAUCCAACUGGUUCUGAAGUGUCAAGUUGCCAGAAUUGGAGGGUUUGAGCUAUAGGGAGAGGCUGAAUA
Molecule: non-coding RNA, 2305 nt
Organism: Chiloscyllium plagiosum (whitespotted bambooshark)
Lineage: Eukaryota; Metazoa; Chordata; Chondrichthyes; Orectolobiformes; Hemiscylliidae
Source: RefSeq, a predicted model, not a curated record